GCUAGAAGCGACGCACGCGCCCGUCGCCCGAUUGCCGACCCGCAGUAGGGGCCUUUGGCCCCCAAGGGCACGUGACGUAGGUGCAGCGACCGCGGCGGACAAGUCGCGGGCGCCUCCUUGGAGCGUAAUUCCCACCGAGCGGCGGGUAGAAUCCUUUGCAGACGACUAAAAUACGCGACGGGGUAUUGUAAGUGGCAGAGUGGCCUUGCUGCCACGAUCCACUGAGAUUCAGCCCUUUGUCGCUUCGAUUCGU
Molecule: non-coding RNA, 253 nt
Organism: Gossypium arboreum
Lineage: Eukaryota; Viridiplantae; Streptophyta; Magnoliopsida; Malvales; Malvaceae
Source: Rfam